GCCCUGUAGCUCAGUUGGUAGAGCGUCGAUCUAGUAAUUCGAAGAUCACGGGUUCAAGACCCGGCCGCGGCA
RNAcentral lists this transfer RNA (72 nucleotides) under Paramuricea clavata. RNAcentral describes it as "tRNA-Thr". It matches the Rfam family "tRNA". Rfam says of the family: Transfer RNA (tRNA) molecules are approximately 80 nucleotides in length. Their secondary structure includes four short double-helical elements and three loops (D, anti-codon, and T loops). Lineage: Eukaryota; Metazoa; Cnidaria; Anthozoa; Malacalcyonacea; Plexauridae. The record is from RNAcentral.